This 72-nucleotide transfer RNA is filed under the name Pyrenophora tritici-repentis Pt-1C-BFP. RNAcentral's name for it is "tRNA-Leu (CAA) (tRNA-Leu-CAA-1-1)". It matches the Rfam family "tRNA". Rfam says of the family: Transfer RNA (tRNA) molecules are approximately 80 nucleotides in length. The record is from RNAcentral. Lineage: Eukaryota; Fungi; Ascomycota; Dothideomycetes; Pleosporales; Pleosporaceae.
GGCCCAUUGGUCCAGUGGUUAAGACGCUCCAGUCAAAUUGGAGAGACCGAGGUUUAAGCCAUUGAGGGGCCA